RNAcentral lists this non-coding RNA (251 nucleotides) under Liquorilactobacillus capillatus. RNAcentral describes it as "Lactobacillus capillatus T-box sequence". It matches the Rfam family "T-box leader". From Rfam's summary of the family: Uncharged tRNA acts as the effector for transcription antitermination of genes in the T-box leader family. T-boxes are found upstream of many aminoacyl-tRNA synthetase genes and some amino acid biosynthetic genes usually in Gram-positive bacteria. The anticodon of a specific tRNA base pairs to a specifier sequence within the T-box motif, and the NCCA acceptor tail of the tRNA base pairs to a conserved bulge in the T-box antiterminator hairpin. The record is from RNAcentral. Lineage: Bacteria; Bacillati; Bacillota; Bacilli; Lactobacillales; Lactobacillaceae.
AAUUUAACGUUGACGAGAUGAGUAACGAAUAGAAGCUAUUUACAGAGAGCCGGUUAUAAUGAUGAAAACGGUAAUAGUCUGAAAUCGUGAAGAUGGUCUCUGAGUGAUUGGACAGUGAACUCUGAUGAGCUGUUCAUGGGUUGCCCAUUACAGCAUUUAGGUAUAGCUAAUGUACCUAGUAAGGAUAGAAUUGUGAAGUUCUAUCGAAAAAUGGGUGGCAACACGAAAAUAAUAAUAAUUUCGUCCCUCUU